UGCAUAUCAAUAAGCGGAGGAAAAGAAACUAACAAGGAUUCCCCUAGUAACGGCGAGUGAAGCGGGAAAAGCUCAAAUUUGUAAUCUGGCGCCUUGGGCGUCCGAGUUGUAAUCUCGAGAAGUAUUUUCCGCGCUGGACCGCACAUAAGUCUGUUGGAAUACAGCGUCAUAGUGGUGAGAACCCCGUAUAGGGUGCGGAUGCCCAGUGCUUUGUGAUAUACUUUCGAAGAGUCGAGUUGUUUGGGAAUGCAGCUCAAAUUGGGUGGUAAAUUCCAUCUAAAGCUAAAUAUUGGCGAGAGACCGAUAGCGAACAAGUACCGUGAGGGAAAGAUGAAAAGCACUUUGGAAAGAGAGUUAACAGUACGUGAAAUUGUUGGAAGGGAAACGCUUGAAGUCAGACUUGCAUUUUGGAGUUCAGCCGCAAGGUGUAUUCUUCAAUUCGCAGGCCAGCAUCAGUUUUUGGGGGUGGAAAAGCGCGGUUCGAAGGUAGCAGUCUCGGCUGUGUUAUAGCUUGCCGCUGGAUUCACUUUUGGGGACUGAGGAACGCAGUACACUUUUUGCAAGAUUCUCGGAUCUUUCGUACUUAGGAUGCUGGUGGAAUGGCUUUAAACGACCCGUCUUGAAACACGGACCA
This 634-nucleotide ribosomal RNA is filed under the name Microbotryum saponariae. Its description in RNAcentral is "LSU rRNA". It matches the Rfam family "Eukaryotic large subunit ribosomal RNA", at positions 37 to 668 of the family's 3401-position model. Lineage: Eukaryota; Fungi; Basidiomycota; Microbotryomycetes; Microbotryales; Microbotryaceae. The record is from RNAcentral.